RNAcentral lists this ribosomal RNA (263 nucleotides) under uncultured bacterium. RNAcentral describes it as "partial 16S ribosomal RNA". It matches the Rfam family "Bacterial small subunit ribosomal RNA", at positions 95 to 354 of the family's 1533-position model. The record is from RNAcentral.
CCGGCGCACGGGUGAGUAACACGUAUGGAACCUGCCCUAUGCAGGGGGAUAAGCGGAGGAAAUUCCGUCUAAUACCGCAUAACACCUUUAGGAGACAUCUUCUUGGGGUCAAAGGAGGCGACUCCGGCAUAGGAUGGCCAUGCGUCGCAUUAGCUAGUCGGCGGGGUAACGGCCCACCGAGGCGACGAUGCGUAGGGGUUCUGAGAGGAAGGUCCCCCACACUGGUACUGAGACACGGACCAGACUCCUACGGAAGGCAGCAG